CCUAUGGGUGGCAGCAGUGGGGAAUAUUGCGCAAUGGGCGAAAGCCUGACGCAGCGACGCCGCGUGAGGGAUGAAGGUCUUCGGAGCGGAAACCUCUGUCAGCAGGGAAGAACGGUCACUGUGCUAAUCAGCAGUGAAUUGACGGUACCUGCAAAGGAAGCACCGGCUUACUCCGUGCCAGCAGCCGCGGUAAUACGGGGGGUGCGAGCGUUAAUCGGAAUUACUGGGCGUAAAGCGCUCGUAGGCGGUAUGUCAAGUCAAGGGGGAAAUCCCCGCGCCUAACGUGGGAACUGCCUUUGAAACUGGCAAACUUGAGUGUGUGAGAGGAUAGUGGAAUUCCAGGUGUAGGAGUGAAAUCCGUAGAUAUCUGGAGGAACAUCAGUGGCGAAGGCGACUAUCUGGCACAUAACUGACGCUGAGGAGCGAAAGCGUGGGUAGCAAACAGGAUUAGAUACCCGGGUAGUC
RNAcentral lists this ribosomal RNA (465 nucleotides) under uncultured bacterium. RNAcentral's name for it is "partial 16S ribosomal RNA". It matches the Rfam family "Bacterial small subunit ribosomal RNA", at positions 338 to 795 of the family's 1533-position model. The record is from RNAcentral.